UAUUAAGCGAGUGAUAUUAAGCCAGCAAACAAAAUCUGACAUUACAUUGGAACGGAAAUACUCUUGUAUUUACAACUCCAAAACACACGUCCUGCGUUUUAAUUUAGGUACACUUCUGUACUCCAGGCUAGUAUUAAAUCUCCAGGUAGCAACCUGCUUGAACAUGACCAGAGUACUGCUCAAUUGUUUCCAUUUUUGUCCACCUGUACUCCUUCAAAUCCAACACAUGUGCCACGUGGGGCUCACCAAAUCCUGCAGACCCAAUCACUAAUAACUUGCCUUGCCAUGUUCCCACAUAAGCAAUGUUGCACAUAUCACUUGGAAGCUUGGAAACUGCUUGCCACAUGGUGCCUUUCAAUGCCAACACAUUACCUCCAUGACACAUGUAUAGCGCAUCAUCACCACUUGUACAUGUUCUAGGACAAAUGGCAGCUUCUAAGAAACUCUCUUGAAUAUGACUCCAUUUCCACGCGGCGACAUCAAACACCUCAGCAUCUCUCUCGAAUCUGCCUUGCAUUUCAGUGCAAUAUCCUCCAAUAACCUGGAGCUUGCCACCAUGGAAAACUGCCUUACACUCGUCUCGUUCUCUUGCCAUGUCAGGCAGUGGAUUCCAGUCAUCUUUUGCCACGUCAUAUGCCAGUCCAGAUCUCAGUGCAUUUUUCUCACCAUCAUGUCCACCAACGACAAACACCGUCCGAUCAGAAUCAGAUGCACACCCGAAAAAAGAUCGCCGAACACCUGGCAUAUCCGACCCACGACGCCACGUAGCCGAAACAAAAUUGAAAACAAAAACUGAAGGGGAAACUUCCCAAGUCACCGGAUCCAGCCCACCCAAAACAACAAUAUCAGACCCAACACUCAUCACCUGGCAAAACAACGGCAAGCAAUCGGAAAACCCAGGAAUUGGAGGCAAUUCACACCAAUCACCAGUAUCCAGCUCAAGAAGAGUAAGGCGAUAAACCGGGGUAAUCCGAUAUUUCACAACCUUGGAACCUUCCUUUGGUUCAACUCGAGCUUGAGCCAUAACAACAAGCUUCUGAAUAUUACGAGUAUCUUUCCUGCGCCGGUGAAAUUCCGGCAACUCAAGCUGAGUUCUCCAGCCUUUGCAGACCGAUACAACGGUGGAGAACUGCUUGUACAUGACACGAACAAGACAAUCACGAGCGACAUCAUCAGGGAGACCAGGAAUCAGCUCCAUGGAAAAAAAAAAGAGAAAGAAAUAAUUGAUUUUGAAUCGAGAUUCAGGGAGAUCGUUUUAAAGAAGGGUUUAUGGAAAGCAGAGAUUUCAGGGGUUUUCUUUAUAUAGAGAGAGAACAGUUACAGACUGUUAUUGAAGAUAAGCUUUGUUAAUGGUGGGGUUCUGGAAACCUG
RNAcentral lists this unclassified non-coding RNA (1371 nucleotides) under Hevea brasiliensis (rubber tree). Lineage: Eukaryota; Viridiplantae; Streptophyta; Magnoliopsida; Malpighiales; Euphorbiaceae. The record is from RNAcentral.